RNAcentral lists this ribosomal RNA (305 nucleotides) under uncultured bacterium. RNAcentral's name for it is "partial 16S ribosomal RNA". It matches the Rfam family "Bacterial small subunit ribosomal RNA", at positions 505 to 807 of the family's 1533-position model. The record is from RNAcentral.
ACAGCAGUAGCCACGGGAAUACGAAGGGGGCUAGCGUUGUUCGGAAUUACUGGGCGUAAAGCGCACGUAGGCGGAUAUUUAAGUCAGGGGUGAAAUCCCAGAGCUCAACUCUGGAACUGCCUUUGAUACUGGGUAUCUUGAGUAUGGAAGAGGUAAGUGGAAUUGCGAGUGUAGAGGUGAAAUUCGUAGAUAUUCGCAGGAACACCAGUGGCGAAGGCGGCUUACUGGUCCAUUACUGACGCUGAGGUGCGAAAGCGUGGGGAGCAAACAGGAUUAGAUACCCCUGUAGUCCCUGUCUCUUAUAC